UAACCUUUUCUACUCUCACAGU
Molecule: microRNA, 22 nt
Filed under: Monodelphis domestica (gray short-tailed opossum)
Lineage: Eukaryota; Metazoa; Chordata; Mammalia; Didelphimorphia; Didelphidae
Description: mdo-miR-7398j-3p
Source: miRBase by way of RNAcentral